AGACAGUGGUUAUUUUAUUUAAUCAUUAUUCAUUACAACCUUGUUCAUGAAUAGUAUGCCUGCAUAGACUAGCAAGUUUUUUUAUUUCAGUUUGAUACUCAAUGUUUUUGACUUGAAACUGACAUUUCUGUAAUACUGAUGAAGACAAGCGAUUUGAAUCCCUUAACUGUGCACAUUUUAAUUGAAUCUUUAUUCGCAUUUCAAGAUUCUGGAGGUUCUAUAUCUUUAAAUGGCAAUUGAUUUUGUGGCUGAACAGUUGUGUGGGUUAACUUGAUUUGUGGUACCAAAUGUUGCCUAGUAUACUACAGUAGUGUUAUAGUGUGAAUUGCUCGCGUCCCCUGUGGCAUUUUUUAUAUCAAGUGGUGAAGUAUGCUAGUUAGCACACUGAACUUUAAUAACAGGUAUUGUUGCAUUAACAACGAACUCAGUACAAGUACAUUUCUGGUAUUUCUCUACCAACUCCAAUCCAGUGAUGUAUGCUACAACAUUGUUGUGCCAAAUUGAUUUAUUGUUUAAUUCGUAUCACUAGCGCUUGCAAGGUUCCAGUAGAAAUUCUUCGUAUAGUAGCAAUAUUAGUAGAAUAUACUAAACUUCUAUUCUUUUUUCCAGGCACACAAACGGUAAAUCAAGUCUGCUUUCUCUGAAACAGAAGUACCAAAUCUGUAAUGGGUGCUUCCUUCUCUAUCUGGUGCAAGGGUGCUUGCUGAUAAAAUUGGUACAAGGGGUUUGUUUGAUGACAAAGGUUGGCUGGAAACACUCUGCAGCCAUCGGGAUAGUGCCAAUGGUUGACCUGGAUUCACAACAGUAAAAAGCUGCGAAGGGUUGUCAGUGUGGAUUCAGGGGCAGACGUGCACGUCAGAAAAAAGUUCUUCGAUGUUUGUGUGUGUAGAUUAUAGAUGCAUGGGCAGGAUUCUAUCUGUCCCAGAAAGAACAAAAUGCAUGCUUCCAUUGCCCUACAGUUGAUAGGAUAUAAUGGAUGUGCCGUGUAUCUUGUCUCGGUCAUCCAGCGGGUUUAUUAGAUUUGAUGGUGUUCCAGAAUUCCUUAAGAUACGUAUAUGGCGCAACAGCAUGUUUGGUUCAAGGGGUAGGUUUGUGACAUGGAUGUGCAUGUGCAAUUAGAUUUUGACUCUAAGGGCUGUUUCUUUUUUUACCAUGAUCCUUUGUGAAUCCUGCAAACCAAAAGGAGUCCAACAAUUUCACCUAGCUUUGAUGGCUGAUGGUGUGUUUUUUUCCCUUCCCUUUUUGGCUUGAGUAAAGUUUAUGAAUGCACCAUCUUAUUCUGGCUCCAAACCUCCCUUUCAGAGGAACAGGACGCCAGAAUAGGUAGUGUUCCAUGAAAGAUUAGUUGAGAGGAACCACUCAUUUCUCUCUGUUCUAAGCACAAAUUUCCUAUUGGACGCUAGGCUGCUAUGCUGUAAGCAUGGCUUUGGUUUCCAAAGGCAAAUUAACAGAAAGCAAGUGCGCGCCUUCUCUUGGAUUCUGAUUCGGGAGUCAUUUCGAUCCAAAAGGUAUUGAUGUGCCCGUUACGUUGCCUCUCCUGGACUGGAGUGGCGAGAUGUUCUCCGGCUACACGUACCAGCAGAAGCUCUCAGACCCCAGCCAGAGAUGAUGCUGCGUGCAUGUCGACGAUCAUAGCAAACAAGUACACAGGUAGUCUCCUGGCGACAGUGCCUGCCGCUGCCUGUGGGCGUCUCUGCCGCAUGCAUUGCAAACUCGAAGGUGGUGAUCAAUCAAGGGUACGGUGUGCUCCUGAUAUCACUUACGACAUUGCGCGUGCAUCGGUAUUCGGGCUCCAUCAGACGGAUGGUAGCCACUUUACUCAUCAGACGGGUGAUGCUUGGAGGCGAUUGAUUGUGUCUUGUGCACACGCCGAGUUGUUGAAAGGUUUUCCAGCAUCCUAUAUAUUCUCUCCCCAUUCACGGAUGAUAGUCUUAUUUCAAAAUUUGAGAUUUUCACAAUCGAUAGUCUUAUUUGAGCCCA
Long non-coding RNA from Panicum virgatum (switchgrass), 1980 nucleotides. RefSeq lists it as uncharacterized. The transcript has 3 exons. The record is from RefSeq and is a predicted model, not a curated record. Lineage: Eukaryota; Viridiplantae; Streptophyta; Magnoliopsida; Poales; Poaceae.